Non-coding RNA from Daphnia pulex (common water flea), 73 nucleotides. The record is from Rfam. NCBI's taxonomy places the organism in Eukaryota, Metazoa, Arthropoda, Branchiopoda, Diplostraca, Daphniidae.
GCCCGUCUAGCUCAGUCGGUAGAGCGCUGGCCUUUUAAGCCAGUGGUCGUGGGUUCGAGCCCCACGGGGGGCG